Molecule: ribosomal RNA, 2902 nt
Filed under: Enterobacter cloacae
Lineage: Bacteria; Pseudomonadati; Pseudomonadota; Gammaproteobacteria; Enterobacterales; Enterobacteriaceae
Description: 23S ribosomal RNA
Rfam family: Bacterial large subunit ribosomal RNA
Source: RNAcentral
UUAAGCGACUAAGCGUACACGGUGGAUGCCCUGGCAGUCAGAGGCGAUGAAGGACGUGCUAAUCUGCGAAAAGCGCCGGCGAGGUGAUAUGAACCUUUGACCCGGCGAUGUCCGAAUGGGGAAACCCAGUGCAAUCCGUUGCACUAUCGUUAACUGAAUACAUAGGUUAACGAGGCGAACCGGGGGAACUGAAACAUCUAAGUACCCCGAGGAAAAGAAAUCAACCGAGAUUCCCCCAGUAGCGGCGAGCGAACGGGGAGCAGCCCGGAGUCUGAAUCAGCUUGUGUGUUAGUGGAACGGUCUGGAAAGUCCGACGGUACAGGGUGAUAGUCCCGUACACGAAAGCACACAUGCUGUGAACUCGAAGAGUAGGGCGGGACACGUGGUAUCCUGUCUGAAUAUGGGGGGACCAUCCUCCAAGGCUAAAUACUCCUGACUGACCGAUAGUGAACCAGUACCGUGAGGGAAAGGCGAAAAGAACCCCGGCGAGGGGAGUGAAAAAGAACCUGAAACCGUGUACGUACAAGCAGUGGGAGCCUCUUUAUGGGGUGACUGCGUACCUUUUGUAUAAUGGGUCAGCGACUUAUAUUCUGUAGCAAGGUUAACCGUAUAGGGGAGCCGAAGGGAAACCGAGUCUUAACUGGGCGUUAAGUUGCAGGGUAUAGACCCGAAACCCGGUGAUCUAGCCAUGGGCAGGUUGAAGGUUGGGUAACACUAACUGGAGGACCGAACCGACUAAUGUUGAAAAAUUAGCGGAUGACCUGUGGCUGGGGGUGAAAGGCCAAUCAAACCGGGAGAUAGCUGGUUCUCCCCGAAAGCUAUUUAGGUAGCGCCUCGUGAACUCAUCUUCGGGGGUAGAGCACUGUUUCGGCUAGGGGGGCCAUCCCGGCUUACCAACCCGAUGCAAACUACGAAUACCGAAGAAUGUUAUCACGGGAGACACACGGCGGGUGCUAACGUCCGUCGUGAAGAGGGAAACAACCCAGACCGCCAGCUAAGGUCCCAAAGUCAUGGUUAAGUGGGAAACGAUGUGGGAAGGCACAGACAGCCAGGAUGUUGGCUUAGAAGCAGCCAUCAUUUAAAGAAAGCGUAAUAGCUCACUGGUCGAGUCGGCCUGCGCGGAAGAUGUAACGGGGCUAAACCAUGCACCGAAGCUGCGGCAGCGACACUAUGUGUUGUUGGGUAGGGGAGCGUUCUGUAAGCCGUUGAAGGUGUCCUGUGAGGGGUGCUGGAGGUAUCAGAAGUGCGAAUGCUGACAUAAGUAACGAUAAAGCGGGUGAAAAGCCCGCUCGCCGGAAGACCAAGGGUUCCUGUCCAACGUUAAUCGGGGCAGGGUGAGUCGACCCCUAAGGCGAGGCCGAAAGGCGUAGUCGAUGGGAAACAGGUUAAUAUUCCUGUACUUGGUGUUACUGCGAAGGGGGGACGGAGAAGGCUAUGUCAGCCGGGCGACGGUUGUCCCGGUUUAAGCAUGUAGGCGGAGGUUCCAGGUAAAUCCGGUACCUUAUUAACGCUGAGGUGUGAUGACGAGGCACUACGGUGCUGAAGUGAUAAAUGCCCUGCUUCGGGAAAGCCUCUAAGCAUCAGGUAACACGAAAUCGUACCCCAAACCGACACAGGUGGUCAGGUAGAGAAUACCAAGGCGCUUGAGAGAACUCGGGUGAAGGAACUAGGCAAAAUGGUGCCGUAACUUCGGGAGAAGGCACGCUGAUGUGUAGGUGAAGUCCCUGCGGACGGAGCUGAAAUCAGUCGAAGAUACCAGCUGGCUGCAACUGUUUAUUAAAAACACAGCACUGUGCAAACACGAAAGUGGACGUAUACGGUGUGACGCCUGCCCGGUGCCGGAAGGUUAAUUGAUGGGGUUAGCGGCAACGCGAAGCUCUUGAUCGAAGCCCCGGUAAACGGCGGCCGUAACUAUAACGGUCCUAAGGUAGCGAAAUUCCUUGUCGGGUAAGUUCCGACCUGCACGAAUGGCGUAAUGAUGGCCAGGCUGUCUCCACCCGAGACUCAGUGAAAUUGAACUCGCUGUGAAGAUGCAGUGUACCCGCGGCAAGACGGAAAGACCCCGUGAACCUUUACUAUAGCUUGACACUGAACACUGGUCCUUGAUGUGUAGGAUAGGUGGGAGGCUUUGAAGCGUGGACGCCAGUCUGCGUGGAGCCAACCUUGAAAUACCACCCUUUAAUGGCUGGUGUUCUAACGUAGACCCGUGAUCCGGGUUGCGGACAGUGUCUGGUGGGUAGUUUGACUGGGGCGGUCUCCUCCCAAAGAGUAACGGAGGAGCACGAAGGUUGGCUAAUCCCUGGUCGGACAUCAGGAGGUUAGUGCAAUGGCAUAAGCCAGCUUGACUGCGAGCGUGACGGCGCGAGCAGGUGCGAAAGCAGGUCAUAGUGAUCCGGUGGUUCUGAAUGGAAGGGCCAUCGCUCAACGGAUAAAAGGUACUCCGGGGAUAACAGGCUGAUACCGCCCAAGAGUUCAUAUCGACGGCGGUGUUUGGCACCUCGAUGUCGGCUCAUCACAUCCUGGGGCUGAAGUAGGUCCCAAGGGUAUGGCUGUUCGCCAUUUAAAGUGGUACGCGAGCUGGGUUUAGAACGUCGUGAGACAGUUCGGUCCCUAUCUGCCGUGGGCGCUGGAGAAUUGAGGGGGGCUGCUCCUAGUACGAGAGGACCGGAGUGGACGCAUCACUGGUGUUCGGGUUGUCAUGCCAAUGGCACUGCCCGGUAGCUAAAUGCGGAAGAGAUAAGUGCUGAAAGCAUCUAAGCACGAAACUUGCCCCGAGAUGAGUUCUCCCUGAGACCUUGAGUCUCCUGAAGGAACGUUGAAGACGACGACGUUGAUAGGUCGGGUGUGUAAGCGCAGCGAUGCGUUGAGCUAACCGAUACUAAUGAACCGUGAGGCUUAACCU